Molecule: ribosomal RNA, 251 nt
Filed under: uncultured prokaryote
Description: partial 16S rRNA
Rfam family: Bacterial small subunit ribosomal RNA
Source: RNAcentral
ACGUAGGGUGCAAGCGUUGUCCGGAAUUACUGGGCGUAAAGCGCACGCAGGCUGAAUUAUAAGUCGGUAGUCAAAUACGGAGGCUCAACUUCCGGAUAUCUAUCGAUACUGGAAAUCUAGAGUAUGUGAGAGGGAAGCGGAAUUCCCGGUGUAGCGGUGAAAUGCGUAGAUAUCGCGAGGAACACCGGUUGCGAAGGCGGCUUCCGGGCACAAUACUGACGCUCAUGUGCGAAAGCUAGGGCAGCGAACGG